This 253-nucleotide ribosomal RNA is filed under the name uncultured bacterium. Its description in RNAcentral is "partial 16S ribosomal RNA". It matches the Rfam family "Bacterial small subunit ribosomal RNA", at positions 524 to 776 of the family's 1533-position model. The record is from RNAcentral.
UACGUAGGUGGCAAGCGUUGUUCGGAAUUAUUGGGCGUAAAGGGCGCGUAGGCGGUCUUGUAAGUCAGCUGUGAAAGCCCGGGGCUCAACCCCGGAGGGUCGGCUGAUACUGCAGGACUGGAGUACGGAAGAGGUAGCUGGAAUUCCCGGUGUAGCGGUGAAAUGCGUAGAUAUCAGGAGGAAUACCGGUGGCGAAAGCGACUCUCUGGACGGCAACUGACGCUGAGGCACGAAAGCGUGGGGAGCAAACAGG